RNAcentral lists this long non-coding RNA (248 nucleotides) under Ananas comosus (pineapple). RNAcentral describes it as "long non-coding RNA (ACOM_LNC021562)". The record is from RNAcentral. Lineage: Eukaryota; Viridiplantae; Streptophyta; Magnoliopsida; Poales; Bromeliaceae.
CUUUUAUUUUAUAAAUUAGAAUUAUUCUAGUUAGUUAAAUUAAAAUUUUAUAAACUAAUAACUUUAUUAAUUUUUAGUCAUUACUUUUUUAUUUUUUUUGCUUAAAAUAAUUAAAAUUAUCAAUUUUAAUGAAAUCAAUAAUUUAUUAAACAAUAAAUUUUAUAAAAUUUUAAAUUUAAUUGUGCUAAAUCAACAUAAAUGGAAAGCGCGUUAAAAUACAUUAUUAAUAAAAAAGUGGGCUAGACCAU